AAUCAACGCUGGCGGCGUGCCUAACACAUGCAAGUCGAACGCGAAAGCCCUUUCGGGGGUAAGUAGAGUGGCGUCCGGGUGAGUAACACGUAGGUAAUCUACCUUCGGGUGGGGAAUAACUCGCCGAAAGGCGAGCUAAUACCGCAUAAUGCAGCGGCACCUAAUGGUGAUUAGUUGUUAAAGCGGGGGAUCGUAAGACCUCGCGCCUGAAGAGGAGCCUGCGGCAGAUUAGCUAGNGGUGAGGUAAUGGCUCACCAAGGCUUCGAUCUGUAGCUGGUCUGAGAGGACGGCCAGCCACACUGGCACUGAC
Molecule: ribosomal RNA, 310 nt
Filed under: uncultured bacterium
Lineage: Bacteria
Description: bacterial SSU rRNA
Rfam family: Bacterial small subunit ribosomal RNA
Source: RNAcentral